Molecule: long non-coding RNA, 294 nt
Filed under: Lupinus angustifolius (narrow-leaved blue lupine)
Lineage: Eukaryota; Viridiplantae; Streptophyta; Magnoliopsida; Fabales; Fabaceae
Description: long non-coding RNA (LANG_LNC000960)
Source: RNAcentral
AAAACAACAAAAACAAAAAAGUUACAAACUUUGGUUCUUCCAACAGCAAUUUAAUCCUUCCUUUCUUCCUCCUCUGCAAAGGGAUCAUUUUUUAUUUUUUGUUCUUCUGGUGGUUCCUGAGUUUCACAUUUGCAUGGCUAUGAAUGCGUGAAACUCCAGAUACGCCAUCGAUUUGAAGAAAGAACAUUGCAAUGGAGGUAGAAAGAAUGAUUCAGUUGAUGCUCUUAUUUUGUAGAAAGCCAAGUUCCCGUGUAGCACUUGUGGGUGGAAACCAUACCGCUUCUAGAUUCUCCA